RNAcentral lists this long non-coding RNA (682 nucleotides) under Salvia miltiorrhiza (redroot sage). RNAcentral's name for it is "long non-coding RNA (SMIL_LNC005485)". The record is from RNAcentral. Lineage: Eukaryota; Viridiplantae; Streptophyta; Magnoliopsida; Lamiales; Lamiaceae.
GCUAAGAAGCAUGGGGACGGAUACGUAAUACGGAUACGAUACGGUACGGGGACGUAAAUACGUCAUUUUUCCAAAAAUCAAGAUACGAUACGUCAAAAAUACGUUUUAGUUUUUUUAUUUAAAAUAUAUUUUAUAUAUAUUAUAAAUUCAUAAUUCACCAAGAAUAUAAGUAAAACACUACUAAUUCAUCAUAACAAAGUUCCAAAUAGCAAAUAAUGAAAUAAAACACAAUAAAAUGUUAGUAGCCCAGAUCACUCAUCAUCGUCUUUCUCCUCCUCAUCCUCCUCUUCCUCUUCCCUCAAAUCUUCAUCAUCAUUGAAGACAACUCUCUCCAAUUCUGGCUGCCAAUUCAAAUAAAAAACAUAAAUCAAACUUCAAUUCAAAUAAAUCAACUGCCCAAUUCGAAAUUAAACUUCAAUCCAACAAAACCCAAAGCUAAAUUCGAAAUACCCACUGCCCAAUUCGAUGCCCAAGCCAAAUAAAAGAGAGGAGAGUGCGAUUAGGGUCAGAGCAAUACCUUUACAGCAGCGGGGCGCAGGGCAGCGCGACGGCGGGCUGGCGCAGGGAGGCGCGACGGCGAGCGGCGGGCUGGCGCAGGGAGGCGCGACGGCGAGCGGCGGGUGGGUCAGAGAGGAGAGUGCGAACGUAAAUGGUGAGUGAGGGAGGCGCGAAUUAGGGUUUU